This 260-nucleotide ribosomal RNA is filed under the name uncultured bacterium. Its description in RNAcentral is "partial 16S ribosomal RNA". It matches the Rfam family "Bacterial small subunit ribosomal RNA", at positions 524 to 783 of the family's 1533-position model. The record is from RNAcentral.
UACAGAGGGUGCGAGCGUUGUUCGGAAUUAUUGGGCGUAAAGCGCAUGUAGGUGGUCUUUUAAGCCGCGUGUGAAAGCUCCUGGCUCAACCAGGAAAGUGCGCGCGGGACUGGAGGACUUGAGUCCGGAAGAGGGUGGCGGAAUUCCCGGUGUAGAGGUGAAAUUCGUAGAUAUCGGGAGGAACACCAGAGGCGAAGGCGGCCACCUGGGACGAGACUGACACUGAGACGCGAAAGCGUGGGGAGCAAACAGGAUUAGAA